AUUGAACGCUGGCGGCAUGCCUUACACAUGCAAGUCGAACGGCAGCACGGGUGCUUGCACCUGGUGGCGAGUGGCGAACGGGUGAGUAAUACAUCGGAACAUGUCCUGUAGUGGGGGAUAGCCCGGCGAAAGCCGGAUUAAUACCGCAUACGAUCUACGGAUGAAAGCGGGGGACCUUCGGGCCUCGCGCUAUAGGGUUGGCCGAUGGCUGAUUAGCUAGUUGGUGGGGUAAAGGCCUACCAAGGCGACGAUCAGUAGCUGGUCUGAGAGGACGACCAGCCACACUGGGACUGAGACACGGCCCAGACUCCUACGGGAGGCAGCAGUGGGGAAUUUUGGACAAUGGGCGAAAGCCUGAUCCAGCAAUGCCGCGUGUGUGAAGAAGGCCCUCGGGUUGUAAAGCACUUUUGUCCGGAAAGAAAUCCUUGGCUCUAAUACAGUCGGGGGAUGACGGUACCGGAAGAAUAAGCACCGGCUAACUACGUG
RNAcentral lists this ribosomal RNA (486 nucleotides) under uncultured bacterium. RNAcentral describes it as "partial 16S ribosomal RNA". It matches the Rfam family "Bacterial small subunit ribosomal RNA", at positions 30 to 507 of the family's 1533-position model. The record is from RNAcentral.